CCGGUGAACUGAAACAUCUAAGUAACCGGAGGAAGAGAAAACAAUAGUGAUUCCGCAAGUAGUGGCGAGCGAACGCGGACUAGCCCAAACCCAAGUAGUUACGGCUGCUUGGGGGUUGUAGGACUGUGAUAUGGACUGUAUAAACGAACUGGAAUGAUUUGGGAAAGUCAGCCAGAGAGGGUGAGAGCCCCGUACAGGUAAAGUUGUACUACCUAACAGUAUCCUGAGUAGGGCGGAACCGGAGAAAUUCCGUCUGAAUUUGCCAGCACCAUCUGGUAAGGCUAAAUACUCCUGAGAAACCGAUAGUGAACCAGUACCGUGAGGGAAAGGCGAAAAGAACCCCUGUGAGGGGAGUGAAAUAGAACCUGAAACCGUGUGCGUACAAGCAGUAGGAGCAGACUUGUUCUGUGACUGCGUACCUUUUGUAUAAUGGGUCAGCGACUUACAUUUUGUAGCGAGGUUAACCGUAUAGGGGAGCCGUAGGGAAACCGAGUCUUAACUGGGCGUCUAGUUGCAAGGUGUAGACCCGAAACCGGGUGAUCUAGCCAUGGGCAGGUUGAAGGUUGAGUAACAUCAACUGGAGGACCGAACCCACUAACGUUGCAAAGUUAGGGGAUGACCUGUGGCUGGGGGUGAAAGGCCAAUCAAACUCGGAAAUAGCUGGUUCUCCGCGAAAGCUAUUUAGGUAGCGCGUCGGACGAUUACCCACGGGGGUAGAGCACUGGAUGGGCUAGGGGGUCGCGAGAUCUACCAAACCUAACCAAAC
This 766-nucleotide ribosomal RNA is filed under the name Thalassiosira minuscula. Its description in RNAcentral is "partial Bacterial large subunit ribosomal RNA". It matches the Rfam family "Bacterial large subunit ribosomal RNA", at positions 185 to 954 of the family's 2925-position model. The record is from RNAcentral. Lineage: Eukaryota; Bacillariophyta; Thalassiosirophyceae; Thalassiosirales; Thalassiosiraceae.